CUCACUCUCUCACAAAAAACACACGCUGAAAACUAUUUGCUCCUACACUUCUCACCGAAAACUAUUUGCUCCUGCACUUCUCACCAAAAACUCCAUUGCCAUCGCCGAUCCAUCCUCACCUCAGACGCUGGCGAUGCUUCAACUCCCGAUCGCGACGAUUCAGACGCUAGUGAUGCUUCAGCUUCAAUUACGACGGUUUGAAGAAAUCCGUCGCCGAUUUGAAGAAACCGUCGCCGAUUUGAAGAAGCCGUCGCCAAUUUGAAGAAAACCGUCGCCGAUAACCACAACCCCAACCUUUUCGAACCCAUUAGCGAAGAUUUAAAGAAAUCCGUCGCCGAUUUGAAGAAGCCGUCGCCAAUAACCACAACCCCAACCUUUUCGAACCCAUUCGUGACGGUUUCAAAGUCGUCACCGCCGGCGAUGCUUUAGCUUCGAUCGCAACGGUUUGAAGAAAUCCGUCGCCGAUUUGAAGAAAACCGUCAUCGAUAACCACAACCCCAACCUUUUCGAACCCAUUCGCGACGGUUCCGGCUACCAACGCCUUUACAAACCCAUUUGCAAUGGUUCCGACAACCAUUCAGACUCUUGCGUAUUUCUUAUUGGUGGCUUUUAGGGGAUUUACUUUUGGCAUUACUUGAAGACAUAUGAGAACAUCUUCCGUUAGUUCUAAAAUAGGGUUUAGGUAGAGUUAUUGUAUAUAUUGCAAACAAUUAUUGUAUGGAAGGAGUUUGAAUUGGAUACUUGUUUUAUUUUUUA
Molecule: long non-coding RNA, 756 nt
Organism: Quercus robur (English oak)
Lineage: Eukaryota; Viridiplantae; Streptophyta; Magnoliopsida; Fagales; Fagaceae
Exons: 2
Source: RefSeq, a predicted model, not a curated record